GCAUUUUAUAAAGUUACAUUCUUUGUGAAAUACUGAUUUAGUAUUAAGUUGAAAUUCCAACGUAAUCCGAAGAUACUGCAAGACAAGCUUGAGACAAAGUCUGAGCACCACCAUUAACGUUUGUCUAAUCAGAGCAGCUGUCACAAGUAGCGGCUGUCGGAUUCAGGUAUCAAUCAAUGGAGUCUCUCGUGGGAUCCUCCAUAAAC
Molecule: non-coding RNA, 206 nt
Organism: Pelobates cultripes (western spadefoot toad)
Lineage: Eukaryota; Metazoa; Chordata; Amphibia; Anura; Pelobatidae
Source: the annotation of a GenBank genome assembly